Molecule: long non-coding RNA, 1986 nt
Filed under: Sus scrofa (pig)
Lineage: Eukaryota; Metazoa; Chordata; Mammalia; Artiodactyla; Suidae
Description: lncRNA (ENSSSCG00055026032.1)
Source: RNAcentral
UUUAUUAUCGGUGUAUAGGAAAGCAGUUGACUCUUGUUUAUUUACUUUGUAUUCUGCAGCUUUGCUAUAUUUGCUUUUUAGUUUCAAGGAGAUUUUUUGUUACUUCUUUCAGAUUUUCUGUAUUACCUAGACAAUCAUGUCAUAGGUGAACAAAGAUUUAUGUCUGCCUUCCUAAUCUGCUUACGUUUUUUUCCCCUACUCUUGCCUUAUUAUGGUAACAAGGACUUGUAGUACAGUGUUGAAAAGGCAUGGUGAGAGGGGACAUCCUUGUUUUGUACCUAAACUUAGUGGGAAGGCUUCAGGUAUGAUGUUAGCUGUAGAGUUUUUAGUUUUGUUUUUUUUUGUUUUUUUUUUUUUUUUGUAUUUUUUUAUCUCUAGAAUCUGCAAUUUUUAGAGACAUUGUUUUUUAUUUUUUUUAUUUUUAUUUUUUAUUUAUUUAUUUUUUUAACAGAGUUUUUAUCAUGAGUAGAUACUAGAUUUUGUAUGCUUUUUCUGCAUUUCUCAAUAAGAUCAUGUUUUGUUUUGUUUGUUUGUUUGUUUUCAUUCUGUUGAUGAUAGAUUACAUCCUUUGAUUUUCAAAUAUUGAACCAACCUUGCAUACCUGGGAUAAAUGCUACUUGGUUGUUAUAUAUAAUUCUUUUAAUACUUUUUUGAGGGUUUGAUUGGCUAAUAUUUUUUUGAGGAUUUUGCGUCUGUAUUUAUAAGAGAUGUUGAUCUGUCAUUUUCUUUUCUUAGUUUUGGUAGAGGCAUACCUCAGAGAUAUUGUAGGUUCAGUUUAAGACCACCACAAUAAAGCGAGUAUCACAAUAAAGCAAGUCAUGCAAAUUUUUUGUUUCCCAGUGCAUAUAAAAUUGAUAUUUAUAUUGUACUGUAGUCUGUUGGGUGUCCAGUAGCAUUAUGUCUAAAAACAAUAUACUUAAUUAAAAAUGUUUAUUGCUAGAAAAUGAAGUCUUCAGUGAGUUGCUGUAAUAUUUUUGCUGGUAGAGUAUCUUGCCUCUUGACGGCUACAGACUGAUUAGGGUGGUAGUUGCUGAAGAUUGAGGUAGCUGUGGCAAUUUCUUAAAAUAACACAGCAGUGAAGUUUGCAACCUCAGUUGACUCUUCCUUUCUAUAGCAUGCAGUAAGGCAACAGAGGUCCUAAAUGAUACCAUAGAACAGUUAGACUUAAUUGAUGUUUUCAGGAUGUAACAUCAAAAAAACCCAGAAUACGUAUUUUUUUCAAGUGCACAUGGAACACCCUUUAGUACUAACCAUGUAUGAGGACACAAGACAAGCUUUUACAAAUUUAAGAGGAUAGAAAUUAUUUUAAGAAUUUUUUCUGACCACAAUGACAUGAAACUAGAAAUCAACCACAGAAAGAGAAAUGAGAAAAAAAAAUGAUUACAUGGAGGCUAAAUAAUAUGCUAGUUAAUAAACAGUGGGUAUGAGGAAAUCAAAGAAGAAAUUAAAAAAUACCUUGGGACAGGAGUUCCCGUCGUGGCGCAGUGGUUAACGAAUCCGACUAGGAACCGUGAGGUUGUGGGUUCGGUCCCUGCGCUUGCUCAGUGGGUUAACGAUCUGCAAGCUGUGGUGUAGGUUGCAGACGCGGCUCAGAUCCUGCGUUGCUGUGGCUCUGGCGUAGGCCGGUGGCUGCAGCUCCGAUUAGACCCCUAGCCUGGGAACCUCCAUAUGCCGUGGAAGCGGCCCAAAGAAAUAGCAAAAAGACAAAAAAAAAACCAAAAAACCUUGGGACAAACAACAUUGAAAAUACAGCAGGCAUUGCUGUUCCCAUGGCUCAGUGGAAAUGAAUCUGACCAGCAUCCAUGAGGACACAGGUUCAAUCCCUGGUCUUACUCUGUGGGUUAAGGUUAUGGUGUUGCUCUGAGCCAUGGUGUAGGUUACAGACAUGGCUUGGAUCCUGUAUUGCUGUGGCUAUGGCAUAGGCCAGCAGCUAUAGCUCUGAUUUGAUCCCUAACCUGGGAACCUCCAUAUGCCACAGGUGUGGCC